This 466-nucleotide ribosomal RNA is filed under the name uncultured bacterium. Its description in RNAcentral is "bacterial SSU rRNA". It matches the Rfam family "Bacterial small subunit ribosomal RNA", at positions 29 to 506 of the family's 1533-position model. The record is from RNAcentral.
ACGAACGUUGGCGGCGUGGAUUAGGCAUGCAAGUCGAACGAGAACCGGUAGCAAUAUCGGGGAAAGUGGCGAAAGGGGCAGUAAGGCGUGGGUAACCUACCCUCUGGACCGGGAUAGCCACGGGAAACCGUGGGUAAUACCGGGAGACGUAGCGGGGACGCAUGUUCCGGCUACCAAACGGUCCGCCGCCGGGGGAGGGGCUCACGUGGUAUUAGCUUGUUGGCGGGGUAACGGCCCACCAAGGCCAAGAUGCCUAGCAGGUGUGAGAGCACGACCUGCGCCACUGGCACUGAGACACUGGCCAGACUCCUACGGGAGGCUGCAGUCGAGGAUCUUCGGCAAUGGGCGCAAGCCUGACCGAGCGACGCCGCGUGUGCGAUGAAGGCCUUCGGGUUGUAAAGCACUGUCGAGGGGGAGGAAGCCGCAAGGUUGACCUAUCCCUGGAGGAAGCACGGGCUAAGUUCGU